AGAAGUCACCAGAACAUUGCAAUUGGUUCCCGUCACUUCCGUAAAUUCCCGCUGAGCUAGGAAGUUUGUUGCUCGAGGUAAUAUUGUGGUGAGCCUAUCCUACCUGGUUGCUUGUCCUAACCUUAGCAGCACCUACAUUAUUACCUCGACAUUCCCCUCCCACGGAUUCUGCCCUCGUUGGCAGCAUUGAAGGAACGUAGCCAUGAUAUAGCAGCUACCUGUCCAUCGUCCAGAGAGAGAGUCAGCCAGC
Bolinopsis microptera is the source of this 250-nucleotide long non-coding RNA. RefSeq lists it as uncharacterized. The transcript is spliced from 3 exons. NCBI's taxonomy places the organism in Eukaryota, Metazoa, Ctenophora, Tentaculata, Lobata, Bolinopsidae. The record is from RefSeq and is a predicted model, not a curated record.